UUCGGUGGCGAUAGCAAAGAGGGUACACCCGUUCCCAUCCCGAACACGGAAGUUAAGCUCUUUAGCGCCGAUGGUACUGCACGGUUGCGUGUGGGAGAGUAGGACGCUGCCGAAA
Molecule: ribosomal RNA, 115 nt
Filed under: Deltaproteobacteria bacterium
Lineage: Bacteria; Pseudomonadati; Myxococcota; Myxococcia
Source: RNAcentral